Molecule: RNA transcript, 13567 nt
Organism: Zea mays
Lineage: Eukaryota; Viridiplantae; Streptophyta; Magnoliopsida; Poales; Poaceae
Gene name: cytochrome c oxidase subunit 3-like
Exons: 1
Source: RefSeq, a predicted model, not a curated record
GAAGAGCCUCCUUCUUUACCACUUUAGGGGAUGGGGGUGAAGGGGGGUUUACAUACAACCGGGGCAAAGUGGUUUAUGAUUGAAUCUCAGAGGCAUUCUUAUCAUUUGGUAGAUCCAAGUCCAUGGCCUAUUUCGGGUUCACUCGGAGCUUUGGCAACCACCGUAGGAGGUGUGAUGUACAUGCACUCAUUUCAAGGGGGUGCAACACUUCUCAGUUUGGGCCUAAUAUUUCUCCUUUAUACCAUGUUCGUAUGGUGGCGGGAUGUUCUACGUGAAUCCACGUUGGAAGGGCAUCAUACAAAAGCUGUACAAUUAGGACCUCGAUAUGGUUCUAUUCUCUUCAUAGUCUCGGAGGUUAUGUUCCUUUUUGCUUUUUUUUGGGCUUCUUCUCAUUCUUCUUUGGCACCUACGGUAGAGAUCGGAGGUAUUUGGCCCCCAAAAGGGAUUGGGGUUUUAGAUCCUUGGGAAAUCCCUCUUCUUAAUACCCCUAUUCUCCCUUCAUCCGGAGCUGCCGUAACUUGGGCUCAUCAUGCUAUACUCGCGGGGAAGGAAAAACGAGCAGUUUACGCUUUAGUAGCAACCGUUUUACUGGCUCUAGUAUCCACUGGCUUUCAAGGAAUGGAAUAUUACCAAGCACCCUCCACUAUUUCGGAUAGUAUUUAUGGUUCUACCUUUUUCUUAGCAACUGGCUUUCAUGGUUUUCAUGUGAUUAUAGGUACUCUUUUCUUGAUCGUAUGUGGUAUUCGCCAAUAUCUUGGUCAUCUGACCAAGAAGCAUCACGUUGGCUUUGAAGCAGCUGCAUGGUACUGGCAUUUUGUAGACGUGGUUCGGUUAUUCCCAUUUGUCUCUAUUUAUUGGUGGGGAGGUAUAUGAAAGAAGGGAACGAAUAAGUGGAUUGAGGAAUAAAAGCUCGAAGACAAAGAGAACUUUAAGAGAAUGGAAUCCUAUUUAAUAUUAGCAAUUCACAUAUAAUCUUAAAUAACGAUCAUCCUCCUCUGUGUGCAAAACGAAGCUGCCGUAGGUAGUUGUAUUAUUAUGGAAUUGUGUUUUGAUUCCUAGUUUAUAAACGUUGUAAGGUAACGUUUCUCGUUGGUAGUAGUUGUUGUUGGUUAUAAACGUUAGUUGUUGUGAAGCAUAUGAGAAUAUGCCUGGUUUUGGGUAAUAUCUUAAGAGGUGCAACGUUCUCCGUGGGUGUUGGUACGAGUGUGGUUUUUCACAGGUCCGGAGACAAGAAAAGAGCCGAAUUAGUGUAGGAAUGGAGAUUUCUACUUUCCGUAGUUGGGUUCGAACCUGAAGAUGGUUUUGUGGUGUCUGCUUCGUCUCUAGAUUAUGCUUCGUCUCCAGAAUCCCUACCCUAAAGAGUGAAAUUGCGUAGCUUAAGGUAGGUGUUUCCCCAAUCCGCGCAAAAUAAACGUAAGGGCUGUCUAUUGGUAAUAGAAUUGAAAGGGUAGAAGGUAUCAACCCCUCGGCAUUGUUGGAGAAGUUUAAGUGGGAGUAAGCAUUGCCCCCUUACUUGUUCGUUGUCUAUCUGUUCUACUAACCUAACCUGAUGUCUACCUGUAGAAAUCUAUACUCGUUUGAACUACUCGAUUGCUAUUUUUUUGUCUUUCCUUUACUAAUACUAACUACUAAUAACGUGCGUGGAAUAACGAGUUUUAUUUUUUGGUCUGCUGAUUGAAAGAGGAGUGUUAAAGCAAUUCGCUUACGAAAUCACAGUCCAAAGCAAAGCAACUACUUACUGGUUUAGCUCGUGUUUUCCUUUUUGAAGUAGUUUGGCAGACGCAUCGAUUGUUCGUGGCUGGUCACACGGCUCCGGUGCAUCGGGCCACUCUCAAUUGUGUGGUUCCGAAAAAACUAGGGCUCUUCUCGUAUGAGCAGGCUUAUCAACCACUCAGAAUAGGGAGCUUCCAGCGGGAAGUCCAGCUUUGGGACGUUGCCCCUCCCUCGGAUGAAAAUAGAUCUCGUGGAGACGGGCUUGACAAAAGUCAGUUAGCAAGCGGGUGUUCCAUAAAAAAAAAUAAACUAGGAUUCUCGGAUGAUUCAAGCUUUUUCAAGAGUGAGUAAGUCUCCCUACUCAUCGGAAAAUUAACACUCUGAGGCGCUUAUUCCUAUUCCCACUUGAAAAUCUACAGCCCAGUGCUCCGCCGUAACUUUAGUUAGGUCAAGCCUGCUUUCCGCACACUCUGUCAUGUCCUCACUUCAACCCCCAUUCUUUAGGCACCGUAAUUUCGCUGCUUCUUUCUUCUUCCAACCAGACAAAACGUAUGGAUCGCUUCCUGCUUCCUUUCUUUGGAGAGAAUGGGCUACGGCACCUACAAGAGCAUAUGCUCGGGCAUCCAUCCAAUUAUGGAAUAUUCAGGCCAGCAGUAAACGAAUGAAGACAAUGUCAAAUGUCAGUGGUCAUCAUCCCUAUAAGAAAUAUGGGGAAGCUUUGUACGCAAUCCAAGCAAGUCAAGCAGGGACACUGAAUCGGUAAAGAAACCAGCCUAAAGAGUAUGUAUUCACACUGGUACAGAACAUAGAUCAGAUCGUAAGGGAUAGAGGGAUGCAAUAAUAAAGAAAGAUCUUGAUUUUAUCUUUCCUUCCUUCCUGCUUAGGAAAGUUCGAGUUGCCGGGCCUCAGAGCCAAUUCCUUAAGGAAAAUCUGGUUUCUUACUUUAUUUGUGUGGGGACCCAUAUUUCAAUAUGUUCAAUUAACCUCACACCGGACUUUGUCACUUUGAAGCUCUAAGGUAUCUCGUACAAAUACGCAGGAGUCAGGACUCAUCUAACUACUCUUUCAACUAUCCCUACUCUUACUUAAACUGUCCCCCUAAGAAGUCAUCAAAUGGUAACACGAUGCCGGGUGUGGCAGGGAUCGAAAAAAAAGCAUUAGCUCAUUCGCAGAGAGAGAAUGAGAGAAGGUGGAUAAUGGUUAGGGAUGUAAGUACUAGAGUUUGGUAGGUUUGAAUUGUGUGGCCAGGGGUAUUGGUUACGAUUCCAGUGGUCUUCAGGCGAGUUGACAAAACUACCCCUAUGCGAAAAGAAUGAAGCUGAUGUGGUUGUUCCAAUUUAUGAAAUUGACUUGCUCUUCUCUCGAUUGAACCAUUGCAACCAAGGAUUGAAAAAAACUUCUAUUUACUCGAGUUUCCAUGUGAUAGAUUUUUCCUACGGAAACGUUUCCUUUUUUGUUAGAAACCCAGCUCUUUCCUUUCCCUUCCUGACCAUGAAACAGGCUAGCGCCUUUUAUGAACUCUUAUCCAAAAUCUCUCAUCAAUCAAAGUCUGUUCCUUCUACUGCACCUCAAGCACCUCCGGUUCAGGUCUUUUAUGAUUGUGACCAAUUUCCUGGCCCGUUGGAAGGCCAAAGCAGCCCAAGUGAUUGAUCUCUCCCCAGAAAAGGAACAAGUUCGGAUAAUGAUGAAUAACAUGAGUAGGCAAUACCAUGACUAUUUCUAUUUCCAAGCGAUGACCACGCUCUUUGAUUGAAGCAGCCACUCGUAUUGAAGAUGCUAUCUACAAUGGGAUGGGACUCAUGGAUCACAGGUCAAAGAGGCAGAUCCAAAAGGAAAGAAGAUAGCCCUGGGGGGAACAAGCAAGAACAGUGAAGUGAAUAUCUUGUCUGACGGAAAACCAAAGACACUCAGGACUUUCACUCCGUUCGGCAUAACUCUCAGCCGCGCCUUGGAAAAUAAGCUUAAGAAGCAUGCUGUACUUCCUCCUGCCAAUAUAAACAUGAUCGAGCCAACAUUGUCGAGUUGGUAGUCUCUGACUCCCUCCUUAUUACGCCAGCCGGAGAAAAGGGAGAAACCGAUGGUAGAGACAUGACUGGAAUCCAGGAGACUGACGAGAUUGAGCCCCCCUAUCGUAAGAAUAGAACGCGAAGCCAGGUUGAUUGAUGCCGAUGUAGUGCAUAUUCUCGUAGGAGAUGAUAGUUUCAUCACGAGCGAGAAUCUCCCACCAUCUGCUAGAUCUUGUUCUUGGUUCUGUUGGCUACUCUCUGGUGGGGCCCACCCUAUGUUGUCCCAGUGUGUAAACUUGCCUAUGAUGGGGUAUUGAUGCAAUAAUACAUGAGGGCCGAUGUAAUUGCAUCAUACUCAAGAGGAUGAGGAGGUCAUCUAAACCCUAAUACCUAAGUAGGAUAAGACAAUCUCUUUUAUCCCUAAGCAAUUUUAUUGAUAGAAUAUAGCCUGGUAAGCACUAACCUUGUCAGCAAGCUGAAUAACCUAUCCCUAAUAAGCUAGCCCUAGUGAGUUCUUGAAAGUAAGGCAGUAGUCUCUAAGGACGAGCUUUGACCAGUAGUGAAAGUGAAAAGCGAAUAAGAAUUGAUUUCUUAACUUAUCUUUUUUCAAGUAAGAGUCUACUCUACUCUACAUAGUAGGCUAGAACUAGGGCUCUACGGCUGGCGUCCACUUGCAAAGGACCAAUUCGACUCUGAGUUGUCGUAAAGAAAAUCCUUUGGCACUUUCAUGCGUGAUGGGUUGAAGCCACUCCAUAUAAAAGCGUUGUCAAGUAGGCAAGGUGUGGAAAGUAAGCUGCUUCUUCUAUCAAAGAGAUAAAUAGGGCAUUCCUUCCAUGCCUAUUCUUCAAUGGAAGGUGCUCCAUCCUCCUUAGAUGUCACCAGCCCUGCCUGGGCGAGGGAGGGAAGAGAUGGCUAGUAGGGAUUUAAGAGCAGUAAGGCGAGCUAUCGUUGUAAAGAAGAAAGUGUCUUUCAAAACUUUUUCUUCCAAAAGAAAAGUACUACUUUCGUUUUGGUGAUUGAAUGAGGAAAUAGGGAAAUGAACUCUUUAGUUUAAUGAGCGUGCUCGAACCGACUAAAUAGAAAAACCAUGUUUACGAAAAAUAGUAAUUUUAUCUGGCUCUUUUUCCUGUACUAACUCGAAUAAGCGGUGGAUCACUAUGCUUUGGCCGUUUUUUUUUUCAACAAAAGCAGUGCGAAUCUAUGAGUGAAAGCUCGAAGAAAGGGCACAGGGUCUCUAGUCUGGAAAGCGAAUCAGCCCUUAUGGGGAUGCACGCUACGGAAUAAAUCCCGUUUGCCUUUCUGAAGAUAUAUUUCUUACUUCUAGAGUGAAAAGUUUUUCACUACUUUAUCUUUAUCUUUAUCACAUGUUGUAAUGUAUUGUAAAGCAUCUUGGAAAGCCCUUGAUAUGCUUUCUUCCUACUUGCCCGCAUCAGAGCAAGCAGAGGUGGAAACAGCAAAGUCAAAGGUCAGAUAUAGCCUUCCCGCGCGGGAUCGCCCUAACUAGUCAUAAUGGUAUGCUGGGUAUCGAUGUCUUACUUAAGCUGGUGGAACGUAGUGAAGGAGAGCUUCCUUUCUCUCUCUCUAUGAAGCUAUAGAUCAUCUAUCGGAGAAAUAGGUCUUGCUGCCUCCUUUCCUUCUCCAGCUUCGGUCUCGCUCACGGAUCUCAAGAGACUAAGAAUCACGAAUGUGCUUAGGUCCCUCCUCACACUCUUUGUAGUACCUCCAGUCUCCUCUACUAAAUCAUUCUCUUCAGCAGUAUCAGGUGCCAAGGAAUCCUUGUAUUCGGUAAAAAAGCUAUGCUAAGAAUCAGCAUAUCCCUUGCGCAAGCAAGAGCGAUUUAUUAAAUAAAUCAAGGAUUCUUGUUAAAUAUAAGAAAUCAAAGUAUUACACGCCAAUAUCCCUUUUAAUCUAUAAUCAGGGGAUUCAUUCUUACUAUAAGUGUUAUGAGAUCAAGUAGGCAUGAGAUAGAGGGUUUUGGUUGUAGCAGAAGCACCCUUCUUGGUUCUCCGUGCUAGAGUAUCACUACGUUUGGCUUCAUUUGUCAACCUUCUAAUCCCUUGUCCUAUAAGGGAAGGGAUUAUACCAUGUGGCCUGCUAUUCUAUCUUAAGGGGAAACCACUCACUCUCUUGACUAUCCUCCGUAAGGAGAUUUGUAUGAAUGAAGCAUCAACCAAUGUUAAUAGCCAGUUGUUGGAUCAGAAUAAACUACCCCAGUUCAGUCUUCUUUCCUCGUUCGGAAUAGAGAUCCAAUACCUGCUUUCAUAGAGCGGCAAUAGCGAAGUACUCUUAAGAUAAGAAGCAUCUCGAUGCGAUGCCAAAACUCCUCUACAUGCGCGCGGUAUGAAGAUCGAAGUAGCUCCUAGUCUAAUGGAAGCCCGAGAUCUUGAUCCUAACCUACUCGUCUAUGGUCCGGUAGACUUGUUGGCCACUUUGUGAGGUGCUACCUUUGAUGCCAAGGAUUAUCGACGAUCUGCUCAUACUCAUGGUAUAGCUGCUGAUGCUAAGUCUAUCUAUGUAGUGGAUGUAAAGAAGCAAGUCGCACAACACUUCUCUAGUCUAUCUAAUGCUGGUGCAGCUUAUGGAUCGGCAGAGCACUAUGCGACAAAAGUUCGGGCGAAUCCGUGACACUAAUGAAGUCAUGGAUAACCUGAACGUACAAAUCUGCACCAGCGCGUAAUUCCGAAAUACAUAUCCUGAUGCUGGUGAUACAUACGAUCUCUCUGAUGGCCCGAGGUGAGGGUUGUAUAUAGUUAGCCCUAUAUGUAUCCUCUCAGGUAUCUCCCUCCCCAUACCUAUACAGACAUAGACUACCUAGAGUUAGAGUAUUUGGGUAUUGCUAUCCCUACGCAAUGUGUUGACUCGGUUUCCUUCCUGUGGUCAUUGCUCUGGUAAUCAAACAUUAACAUGACACUCUCUAUCGUACUCUUUCUUCUCGGUAUCCUAGGAUUCGUCCUCAACCGAAAGUAGAUAGAUCAUCCUCAUGCUGAUCUCAAUUGAAAUCAUGCUGCUAGCUGUGACAGUACUAGUGAUUGUAAGCUCAUUCUCAUUCGAUGAUAUCGUAGGACAAACAUCUAGUAUCUACAUCAUCGCUAUUGCAGGUGCAGAAUAAGCUAUAGGUAUAGGUAUUCUUGUAGCAUAUUACCGUCUACAAGGAGAAAUUUAACUAAGCUAACAUGUAUCGUCCUUCGGGCCCUAGGGUCUAUUCUGACUCUCCCUAUGCUAGGUGCAAUGGGUGCAGGACUCCUUGGACGUAAGGUAAGAAAAACUGGUGCACAUAUUAUUACUUGUGUAGCUAUGUGUACAACAGCUCUCCUAUCUUACGUAGCAUUCUAUGAAGUGGGUCUAUCAGGAUCACCUGUAUCAAUUCGACUUGGUAGCUGAAUCGAUUCAGAAUGGCACAGUUGACUGAGGAUUCCUAUUCGAUAGCCUAACCGCUCAUCGAAGACCUCGCUGUAGUAACUGUAUAAGCACUAGUACACAUCUUCUCGUUAAGCUAUAUGAUAUGGCAGGAGAUACACACAACCAACGAUUCUUCUCAGACCUCUCUAUGUUAACAUUCUUUAUGCUUGUGCUCGUAGCUGGGGACAACUACCUAAUUAUGUUCCUAGGUUGAGAAGGUAUCGGGGUAAGCUCAUACCUACUAAUCAACUUAUGAUAUACACGACUCCAAGCUAACAAGUCUGCUAUUAAGGGCGGCCCUUACUGUGAACCUAGUAGGUGACACAUUCCUUAGCGUAGGAUUCUUUGCUAUGCUAUUCCUAUUCGGUAACCUAGACUAUGCAACAGUAUUAAGUAUCGUAUACUAAUGAAUAUGCACUGACAAUCACUGGACUACUAUUCCUAUUGGAACCAUCCAUUGCGAUGUCUGCCUGAUCGAACUCGCCCUCGGAGGAAAAACUCUCCUCUUUCCACUCAAGUAUGUUGCACCGUAUCUGGUGUGGUAUCCUCUCUUUUGAUAUUUAUGCUUACGAAAGCCCAUAUUGUAAAUAAAGAGCACUUCUUCCUUAUCCUUAUCCUUAUCCUUAGUAGCUUGAUUGCUGUUACACCUGUACUGCGGAUCUUUACUAUACUAUGGCAUUGGUCAAUUGAAAUCGUAAGAGGUUGAGAAGAUCCUUUUCUCAUCUGAUGCUUUGUUGUUUGCUCCGAGACUCAUAAGAGGUGAAAGAACACAAUGUUACUACCGGAUUUCAAGUGAGUGUACCGGUCUUGUCACUACAGAUGGUAGUUGCCGAACCCAUUGUUGAACACGCAGCCUUCUUACCGAGAAAAAACAAAAUGCUAGUUCUAACGAACAGCGUUUGUCCCAUCGACGAAGGCUAAUGAGACUUGCCUUUCUUUGCCCUUGAUUCUACUAUAGAUAUAGAUAUAGAUAUAGAUAUAGAUAUAGAUACGGUGCUGCAAAUUCGCAAGCUGAUCCUAAUCCUAAGUAUAAGUCAAAGUAUAAGUCAAAGUAAAAUCUUUGUCUCAAACCAUCCCAGCAAGAGGAUGCGCCUAGCGCUAGUUGCUCAAUCCCUUGCUUGUUUGUUUUCAUAAAAAGAAUGGUUCUUUUAUGCAAUUAUGAACGGGCAGGCCUCUUGUGGAUUCCUCCAACUCCAUGAAUGAAGGGGGGAGUAUGAGGAAGGCCGAUUUUCUUUCUAUAUGAAGAUGAAAAAAGGAUCAGGGUCAAACAUUUCUGACUUUUGUUGAGUAUGACUGAAUGAGGAAGAGCUCCUUAUGUGGUAUCACUUUACCACCAUCUGAAAUGCGCGAAACUCCGAUUGGUGGAAGCCAGUCCAUGAAGAUUCUCCCUUCUCUUACGUGAAAUUCCCCUCUUUCGGUAAGCAUCCAGUAUCUCAGCAAAUGAACAUUUCUCUAAGCUUAUCCUGUAGCUUAUACGUCGUUUGAAAGCUGCUCCAAGGAUCCAACGAAUAGCUAAGGUUUGUUGACGAUCCCUGGCUACAAUCCCAGGAACAUCAUAAAUAGUACCUGCGACUCCUACUUUGACCACUUCGCAUAUUGGCUUUAUAUUAUCUACGGCGUCAACCAUAAGUUUGAUUACAUCGCGUUCAGUUCGAGCUAGGCGGUGAAAAGUUUUAUAAACAAUAGCACGAACUCUCGUUCUUUUACCAUCGAUCAUGCGAAAGUUUACCAAUUUCUUGAUCAAUUCUUUUUGCUCACCAUCAAAGUCCCCCAUAUAGCUGAGAAUUUCCGAGCAAUUGGAAGCCGCUUUCGAUGACGAGGCCGAUAAAUUGAUAUUACGCGAUCGUUACUGUCCAUCUUUUUCAGCUCUGCUCCCAAAAGAGAAAGGAGACUUAAAGAUCAAUAUGUGGGCGUAGGUUUUUCCAACGAAACGAAAAAAAGAACAUUCGAACAAAUAGACUUGAUUCCAUGACAAAACAAAAUGCUAGUUCUAACGAACAGCGUUUGUCCCAUCGACUUUACUUUGGCCAAUGAUACUACUACUACUAUAUACUAUAUACUAUAUACUAUAUACUAUAUACUAUACGCGUUUUCUGAGGAGCAACAUGAGACUUGAUUUUCCGUUGGUUUUUCUAUUUUCUAACGAAAGUAUUAAUUAAUAUGCAGGAUAAUAUAAAUGGUUGGUUUUGUUCAAUACUUAGGUAUAGGUAGGGCUGACUACGCCACCUCAGCAGCUGGGACUGGAAUUGCUUACAAUGCAUCUGGCCACUGACUGAAUUCGAAGUAGGGCCAGUGUAUAAAGACCGGCUUAUCUCUCUUAAGACUUAGUCCACUUUCUACUAGAAUCAGAUUUUCUAGUUUGCAAGCAGGUGUGCCAGCUGUAACAAAAACUUACGGCUUAGGUGGAUUUCUUUAGUCAGUCUAUAACUCAGGCUUUUCUUUAUAGGACUCCCACACAAGUAAGUAGCUAGCUAGCUGGUAUUGCCAAAGCCAAAAACACUGCUGCAUUCGAAAAGGCGAACCGCGCGGACCCGACUUCUUCCUUUUAUGCUGAAACUAGCCGCCGGGGGAAAAGAGCCCGGAAGGGUAAAAAAAACAACUAGAAGCCAUUGGGCUAUUACUGCUACAGCGAGAUAUUGCCUGAAAGAGUUAUCCCAAAAGAAGGUUCUUCUGAAACGAGUGCUCAAGCCAACAAGCAAACGUAUACUUGAUUUUCUUCUUUUCUUGCAGCAUUCCUAAACUCAAAGCUCUAUAUUCUAUUCUUACGCUUCCAAUAUUCUCUUCCAAAAGCAAUAGGUUGUCGACAGAAGUCAAUGAAGCAACGUUUGAAAGAAACAACACUUCUUUCUCAAUUUCCACUUUAGAUAGGAGAGUCUGGUCCUUAUAUGAAACUGGUAUGCCAAGUGGAAUUCUGAGUACGGUUGUAUAGGACUGCUUUCAAGAUAGCGAGCAAGACCUACUCUCCUGGAAUGGGGCUAGUCAAAAGAAGACACCUUGAUAAGGAUUUGCUAACCUCUGACUCCCUUUCACUUCAUAUUGGAAUAUAUGAAACUCUCAAAGAUGUGCUUUCACUUUGAUGACAAGAUUCUCAUCACGUACUUACUCUUACAUAGCUCAAUCAAUCUGCUAGAAAGCUCUGCUCAGAAUGAAUUUAUGGGGUAUUAGCCACAGCAAGUAUAAAAUAAGUUUCUUUGGAAAGCAAGAACGAAGUAGGCGAGGAAAGGCAUACAUAGGUCAGAAAAGUAUGCAUGGUCGUCACGGCACGGGUAAGGAUUCUCAUUCCAGCAUUCUUGGGUCUAGUUUUGUUUGGACUUGGGCUUAGAUGUAGUGGGUUCUUGGGCCACAGCUUUACCUAUCAAAACCUUCGAAGGAGCAUUAGUCUUUGACACAUCAAUCAACCCGGCGUAGGAGCAUGGGAUUUGGACACAUCAGCACCAAACCAGUUGUUGAAGUGGAGUAUGAGCUUCUAUCCAAUCGAAAGAAGAAGCAAAGGCUUUUCGGUAAAGUAUCCGUUUUUUAGUGGUCCUUGCAUUCACUCCUCCAAGGAGGUGGUAAUUCAUCCAUAGUACGUACGCCUAUCUAUGGAAAAGUUCUUUUGUUGCUUCAGCUGUCAACGCAUUCUCAGCCCCUGCAUAAUGUUUUUAUUAAUAAGCUCUCUAUCGGCCGAAAAGGUCUUCUUUAGACCAGCGGAUGGAUAAGGCUUAGUUUUGUGCUUUUCACCUUCCACCGGCUUCGAGGCAAAGAUAUCCGGGGCCCUAUUCUUAUAUUCACGUUAAUGAAUGGAUGGGUAGCACGGAAAAGUAAGUGCUAACAAGAUGAAAGGAUUGUCCAAUACACAUACAUACCAGUUAGAAGAGGGAAGGGUGGCCUCAGCUGUCGGAGCCAAGCAUCGGAUGUACUUCCUCGAUGAAAAGGCACUGGAUAGCGAUAGACGUACGAUUUCAAUCAAUUCUCUAGGGGCCCUGGAGAAUUGAUUGAAACAAGUCAAGUAUUGGCGUAGUCAUAUACAUAUAUCGUCCUUGGCUCGUAGGCGUAAUUCGUAUUCGUAUUUGUUAUUAAUUUCUUUACUACGUCGUAGGAAUAUCUCUAAAUAGGAAUCGUAUGUACAUGUUUCGUAUUGUGAUAAAGCACCUAUGCCGCUAGAAAUAGUAGCGCCUUAAAGAAGGCGUUAUUUACAAGAUGGAAUAGUGCUACGUCAUAAGCAGAAAGACCACAAGCCAUAAAUGGGUUACCUAGCCACAUAAUUACAGACAGGGACCCAACUCUUAGGCCAGUCCGAAGGGCAUUGAUGGAACAAACAAAGGUAGAAGAUCUUGAUUCUCUGCAAUUCGGCUUCAACCCGAUGGAGCUCUCUUCAAAACAUAUCUUUCGGCGUCAGUCUUUCCUGCCUUACCUUAACCCCGCUUUCACGUGGCGAUUCGGUAUGAGGUUUCUCUGAUCUGUUUACGGUAUUCUUGAAGCUUUCUUUCUUGGUCACCGGACAGAGUGAGAACUGCUCUGCUUGCUUUCUUUCCCUAGCACACACUUAGUAGAUAGUAGGCACAACUCCGCUAAGAGCUCAUCGAACUUUACUUGUAGAGUGAGACCUGUGCUCGAUAUGGUUCAUUUCAGUGCUCUUUCUCUCGGUAUGGUUCACCACAUGCCUGUGAUCUCUCUCAAGCUAGGUAUCGGAGAAGUCCGUCAUGGAAUUGAAGUGGUAGAGUGGUAAGUGGGCGUACGGUCUAUGUAUUUCUUAUCAGUGGCAUUAGUUCCUUUUCAUUCUCUAGAUAGAUGAACAAGCUUCUCUUUAUAUUAUAGAAUAGAAAGGAUCAAAAGGGCUCUCUCAUCUCCUAUUUGUUUGAGCCAUUCAUUAUAGUGGUGGUGCCGGGAAGGCAGCUUAGCACUCUAGUCCUUUUGAGUAAGGAAUUGUAGCACGGGCAGGCAAGAGACAACCUAGCGAACUGAAACAUCUUAGUAUAGUAUAGUAUAGUAGAGAAUUUGGCGUUGCCACAUAAACAUAUAAGUAAGGUUGUGGACCAACUAUCCGGCAUAGAGGGAAAAAAAAGCAGUGUGCCUUCUACUCAUCGCCCAAUGGGUACUCGACCGACUUCAAUUGGUUCACGAUGUGGUUGAACUCGCUUAUCGGCGAGGUACUUUAGGCCAUUUUGAGGAGCCGACGCAGGGCAGGGCAGGAGAUGAAGUUUGUUUGAACUAAAGGGCGAAAGCUAUAUAUAAAUAUACCGAAAUGAAAGAACUGCUGUUAUUAGCAAUUGAAAGUUGGGGAAAUCGCUCAGUUGGUUAGAGUGCUGGCUCUGGGAAUCCACGGAUCACGCCACACUCGGACAGUUCGCCCAUUGCCAAUAUGCCAGAUGAUGGAUUCCUUGGUUUUAGUUAGUCGCUGCUCUUUCUAUGGCAGUGGUUGAUCCUCUCGUCGUGGGUCGGUUUAGUCAUUAGCUCGAGAGGACAGGGGAGAGAUAGGAGACAAUCUAUGUAACCUUAGCCUACCCCAAUAGUAAGUAUCGGAAAAAGGACUCCUUCUCGAAAGAGAUAGGCAGUCAUCGCAUUAUCUACUUGAUUAUGAUAUUUAUUUUUAUCCAACGGAUAAUGCAAAUCGCCUAUAAAUUAAAGUGAAAGUUCAGUACGAACUGGUAGAGCGAGAGCAGCUAGUUUAGAAGGAAAAGAAAAAGGGCGCCUACUCAGUGGUAAGUUAGGUCAUUCCUUUCCGGCUAUCAGAAAAGAGUAUGAUCGAGGGUCCCAUAAGGCAAAGGGAAGGUGCUCCCCCGACCUACUACCCUCGGAGAGAUUCCUACGGUUGCAAUGGUGAGUUGUGAACUUUGUAGAGCUUCGUUCUAGUUCCAUCAUUUUUCUGCAUUCUUUCUAAAGUGCUAGUUUCCUCUAUUUCUAAUAUCAGAGUAACACGGGAAUUCUCUCUGGGAAUCCGCUCCCCCUGCUUGCUUGUAUUGGGCAUUUGGCAGAGGCAGGUUCUCCAUCAUUAAGAGGCUUCUCACUUUGGUAUCGAUAUGCGUCUGAACUCCUCCACUCUUUCACUAGGGGUACACACAACUCUGGACUUGUGCAGCUAAUAGAUUACUUUCUCAAAACAGCCUAUUUUGGAGGAAAUGCCCAUGGGAAUACGGUUCUUGGGAUACCACAGGGGAGUACCAUCUCACCGGUCCUUAUGAACAGCUUUCCCCACUGAAUCAUUAGAUCACCCGCUUAUGUUCCCUAGUUGUCCAGGUGUGACCUAGUUUGCUUAGUAAGUAUGGAAGGACAAAAGACGAGUACAGAUGACUACUAUUCUCCGGCAGAAAGUCACUCAUUUCCUCUUAAAGGUCCCAAAGAUAUGAGUAAAAAACUCUUCCAAAUCAAAGAUUUGCCUAUUCUUCGUAGUACGAGAAUACUCUUACUUCUCAUUGACACAGACGAGAAAGAAGUAAGUAGAAUAAAGGAAGAAUGUUAGUAUAGUAAAA